GCAAAACGCGAAGAACCUUACCCACCUUUGACAUGUACGGAAUCCUUUAGAGAUAGAGGAGUGCUCGAAAGAGAGCCGUAACACAGGUGCUGCAUGGCUGUCGUCAGCUCGUGUCGUGAGAUGUUGGGUUAAGUCCCGCAACGAGCGCAACCCUUGCCAUUAGUUGCUACGAAAGGGCACUCUAAUGGGACUGCCGGUGACAAACCGGAGGAAGGUGGGGAUGACGUCAAGUCCUCAUGGCCCUUAUAGGUGGGGCUACACAUGUCAUACAAUGGCUGGUACAAAGGGUUGCCAACCCGCGAGGGGGAGCUAAUCCCAUAAAGCCAGUCGUAGUCCGGAUCGCAGUCUGCAACUCGACUGCGUGAAGUCGGAAUCGCUAGUAAUCGUGGAUCAGAAUGUCACGGUGAAUACGUUCCCGGGUCUUGUACACACCG
RNAcentral lists this ribosomal RNA (434 nucleotides) under uncultured bacterium. RNAcentral's name for it is "bacterial SSU rRNA". It matches the Rfam family "Bacterial small subunit ribosomal RNA", at positions 954 to 1392 of the family's 1533-position model. The record is from RNAcentral.